Molecule: long non-coding RNA, 525 nt
Filed under: Brassica napus (rape)
Lineage: Eukaryota; Viridiplantae; Streptophyta; Magnoliopsida; Brassicales; Brassicaceae
Description: long non-coding RNA (BNAP_LNC021558)
Source: RNAcentral
AAGUCACUGUCCUCUCCAGAUUUUUCAACCAUGCAUCUUAUUACAUUGGCACGCGGUGGAGUCACCUUUUUGUUUUUUUAACUCAGCAUGUUUUUCGCUCAUACUGUUUUUGCUUCUUUAACUCAGCCUCUUUUCUCUUAGCCUCGGUGUAAGACCCGAUCCUGGAUUCCUCAAUCCAACCAGACCGCGGCCUCACUAAAUAAUACAACCCGUUUCAUUUACAUAUUCAAGAUCCAAUGUUAAAUAAUUCUAAGUCUUUUCAGAGUUUUGAGGUUCCAACAUUCUACUAAGGCAAAUAGAUAUUUCAUAGAUAAAAACCAAGGUUCAUACAUCAUUCAUCAUCCUAAUAAAUAGAUCACAUACUAGAAUCGCAUAAGUUCACAAGUUGCACAAUAGGCUACAAUAAUUAUACAAUUUUCCGAAUCAACCCAUUCACCACACAUCUUCCCAUGGCCGCGGUCCUCAUGGUGCUUUUCCCUUACCACGGUCCAUUUCUGGUCCUGGAUUCAACACAGACAGACAUAC